This 497-nucleotide ribosomal RNA is filed under the name uncultured bacterium. RNAcentral's name for it is "partial 16S ribosomal RNA". It matches the Rfam family "Bacterial small subunit ribosomal RNA", at positions 28 to 507 of the family's 1533-position model. The record is from RNAcentral.
GAUGAACGCUGGCGGCGUGCCUAAUACAUGCAAGUCGAGCGAACGGACGAGAAGCUUGCUUCUCUGAUGUUAGCGGCGGACGGGUGAGUAACACGUGGAUAACCUACCUAUAAGACUGGGAUAACUUCGGGAAGCCGGAGCUAAUACCGGAUAAUAUUUUGAACCGCAUGGUUCAAAAUUGAAAGACGGUCUUGCUUUCACUUAUAGAUGGAUCCGCGCUGCAUUAGCUAGUUGGUAAGGUAACGGCUUACCAAGGCAACGAUGCAUAGCCGACCUGAGAGGGUGAUCGGCCACACUGGAACUGAGACACGGUCCAGACUCCUACGGGAGGCAGCAGUAGGGAAUCUUCCGCAAUGGGCGAAAGCCUGACGGAGCAACGCCGCGUGAGUGAUGAAGGUCUUCGGAUCGUAAAACUCUGUUAUUAGGGAAGAACAUAUGUGUAAGUAACUGUGCACAUCUUGACGGUACCUAAUCAGAAAGCCACGGCUAACUACGUG